RNAcentral lists this long non-coding RNA (789 nucleotides) under Rattus norvegicus (Norway rat). RNAcentral's name for it is "long non-coding RNA NONRATT007451". Lineage: Eukaryota; Metazoa; Chordata; Mammalia; Rodentia; Muridae. The record is from RNAcentral.
AUGUACUUAGGGAAGGUUGCUAUCAAUACAAGAUAAGGACCCAAGAUGCUAUUUCACAAGGAAUAUGAAGAAUUCUUGUGUAAAUGGGAAACGUGUCUCUGAGUCUGUCAAAAGCUAAAGGCCAUAGCAGAGUUGUAUACACAGGAAGGUACCCGGUGGGCCUCUUUAAGCCUGAUACCCAAGGUACUCCACCCAUGACACCUUUGUUCUCUUGUAUCCUCAGAUCCAGACAGCAAGGAGGGAGAUGAGGCCGUGGAUGGGUCUGUAGAUCCCUCCUGCUAUUUCUCAUAUCAACACUAGGGGGCACCCUUCCUUCCCUCCAGCUCUACCUGGCGGAGACAGAGCUUCCUUAUCACAGCAGCUAUUUGUUCAAGGGAAGAUUAUGUUUCUGGAGGGCUCCGGGUUUCUGCUGAGGGGUUCUUCUGUGCACGUGCAGGAUUUAAACACAGGGUUCUGCUUGGAACAGCAAACACCAACCGCGACCAGCCUCACGCCAGCCAUUCCGUUCCACUCCUGGGUACCAAUUAGUAUCAUUUGCACAGCUUCCAUCACUUCGGCUGACACUGUUAGUGAGCUAUUGCAGCUGUCUCCAGGACAAACAAGCUCACGCAAGCCCCUAACUAUCAUGAAGAAGAGAAACUUCAGUUUGAGUGGAAAUUAAAUUGCUCAAGAAUUUUGAUAAAGAGGUGUGUUCUCCAAGUAAUAGAAAAUCUUUUCUACAAACAAUCAACAAUGGAUUAAAUUUCAUGGUUCAAGAGGUCUUUUGGAGAGGAAUUUUCAGAAAAGAUC